ACAUUAUUUGAAAAUAAACGGCUUUUAUCUGUUCUUAUCAGCUUAAUAUCUGAUACAAUCCCCAUAGGGGAUUCAGAAUAUUAAACUGAUUUUUGGAACCGGGCGGGUGACCGGAGCUUGCUCCGACUCUGCCGCGGGUCGGCCUGGCAUUGCAGUACCGUCAGGAACGGCCUAAUAAAC
Lasius niger is the source of this 180-nucleotide small nuclear RNA. It matches the Rfam family "U2 spliceosomal RNA". From Rfam's summary of the family: U2 is a small nuclear RNA (snRNA) component of the spliceosome (involved in pre-mRNA splicing). Complementary binding between U2 snRNA (in an area lying towards the 5' end but 3' to hairpin I) and the branchpoint sequence (BPS) of the intron results the bulging out of an unpaired adenosine, on the BPS, which initiates a nucleophilic attack at the intronic 5' splice site, thus starting the first of two transesterification reactions that mediate splicing. The record is from Rfam. Lineage: Eukaryota; Metazoa; Arthropoda; Insecta; Hymenoptera; Formicidae.